AAAACGACUCUCGGCAACGGAUAUCUCGGCUCUCGCAUCGAUGAAGAACGUAGCGAAAUGCGAUACUUGGUGUGAAUUGCAGAAUCCCGCGAACCAUCGAGUCUUUGAACGCAAGUUGCGCCCGAAGCCAUUAGGUCGAGGGCACGUCUGCCUGGGCGUCUCAC
RNAcentral lists this ribosomal RNA (164 nucleotides) under Camellia hengchunensis. RNAcentral describes it as "5.8S ribosomal RNA". It matches the Rfam family "5.8S ribosomal RNA". From Rfam's summary of the family: 5.8S ribosomal RNA (5.8S rRNA) is a component of the large subunit of the eukaryotic ribosome. It is transcribed by RNA polymerase I as part of the 45S precursor that also contains 18S and 28S rRNA. Functionally, it is thought that 5.8S rRNA may be involved in ribosome translocation. The record is from RNAcentral. Lineage: Eukaryota; Viridiplantae; Streptophyta; Magnoliopsida; Ericales; Theaceae.